Molecule: transfer RNA, 51 nt
Filed under: Solanum involucratum
Lineage: Eukaryota; Viridiplantae; Streptophyta; Magnoliopsida; Solanales; Solanaceae
Description: partial tRNA-Phe
Source: RNAcentral
GAAAUCCUCAUNUUANCGGUUCCAAUUUCCAAUCCAGAUUGGUAGGAUAGA